Molecule: ribosomal RNA, 1348 nt
Filed under: metagenome
Description: bacterial LSU rRNA
Rfam family: Bacterial large subunit ribosomal RNA
Source: RNAcentral
UGAGUACGAGCUGCUACGGCAGCGAAGUGGGUGAUGUCAUGCUUCCAAGAAAAGCCCUAUACCCGUUAAGGCAUGAUGGCCUGUACCCGAAACCGACACAGGUGGGGUGGUAGAGAAUACCGAGGGGCGCGAGGUAACUCUCUCUAAGGAACUCGGCAAAAUGGCCCCGUAACUUCGGGAGAAGGGGUGCCACCGCAAGGUGGUCGCAGUGAAGAGGCCCAGGCGACUGUUUACCAAAAACACAGGUCUCCGCUAAGUCGCAAGACGAUGUAUGGGGGCUGACGCCUGCCCAGUGCCGGAAGGUUAAGGAAGCUGGUCAGCGUAAGCGAAGCUAGCGACUGAAGCCCCGGUGAACGGCGGCCGUAACAAUAACGGUCCUAAGGUAGCGAAAUUCCUUGUCGGGUAAGUUCCGACCCGCACGAAAGGCGUAACGAUCUGGGCGCUGUCUCGGAGAGAGGCUCGGCGAAAUAGAAUUGUCUGUGAAGAUGCGGACUACGUGCACCCGGACAGAAAGACCCUAUGAAGCUUUACUGUAGCUUGGUAUUGUGCUCGGGCUCGGAAUGCGCAGGAUAGGUGGGAGGCUAUGAACCAUUGCUUGUGGGUGAUGGUGAGCCACUGGUGAGAUACCACUCUUUCCGAGCUAGAGUUCUAACAGCCACCCGUUAUCCGGGGGCUGGACAGUAUCAGGUGGGCAGUUUGACUGGGGCGGUCGCCUCCUAAAAGGUAACGGAGGCGCGCAAAGGUUUGCUCAGGCUGGUUGGAAAUCAGCCGACGAGUGUAAAAGCAGAAGCAAGCUUGACUGUGAGACCUACAAGUCGAACAGGGAGGAAACUCGGCUUUAGUGAUCCGACGGUUCUGCGUGGAAGGGCCGUCGCUCAACGGAUAAAAGUUACUCUAGGAUAACAGGCUGAUCUCCCCCAAGAGUUCACAUCGACGGGGAGGUUUGGCACCUCGAUGUCGGCUCAUCGCAACCUGGGGCUGAAGUCGGUCCCAAGGGUUGGGCUGUUCGCCCAUUAAAGCGGUACGCGAGCUGGGUUCAGAACGUCGUGAGACAGUUCGGUCCAUAUCCGGUGCAUGCGCAGGAAUAUUGAGAGGAUUUCUCCCUAGUACGAGAGGACCGGGAGGAACGCACCUCUGGUGUACCAGUUAUCGUGCCAACGGUAAACGCUGGGUAGCCAUGUGCGGAGAGGAUAACCGCUGAAAGCAUCUAAGUGGGAAGCCCACCUCAAGAUGAGUAUUCCCAUGGGGUAACCCAGUAAGGUCACGGGAAGAACACCCGUUGAUAGGCUCUACGUGGAAGCGCAGUAAUGUGUGAAGCGGAGGAGUACUAAUAGACCGAGGGCUUGAC